UGGGGAAUAUUGCACAAUGGGGGAAACCCUGAUGCAGCGACGCAGCGUGAACGAAGAAGGUAUUCGUAUCGUAAAGUUCUGUCCUAUGGGAAGAUAAUGACAGUACCAUAGAAGAAAGCUCCGGCUAAAUACGUGCCAGCAGCCGCGGUAAUACGUAUGGAGCGAGCGUUGUCCGGAAUUAUUGGGCGUAAAGGGUACGCAGGCGGUUUAAUAAGUCGAAUGUUAAAGAUCGGGGCUCAACCCCGCAAAGCAUUGGAAACUGAUAAACUUGAGUAGUGGAGAGGAAAGUGGAAUUCCUAGUGUAGUGGUGAAAUACGUAGAUAUUAGGAGGAAUACCAGUAGCGAAGGCGACUUUCUGGACACAAACUGACGCUGAGGUACGAAAGCGUGGGGAGCAAACAGG
Molecule: ribosomal RNA, 403 nt
Filed under: bacterium
Lineage: Bacteria
Description: partial 16S ribosomal RNA
Rfam family: Bacterial small subunit ribosomal RNA
Source: RNAcentral